Molecule: ribosomal RNA, 433 nt
Filed under: uncultured bacterium
Lineage: Bacteria
Description: partial 16S ribosomal RNA
Rfam family: Bacterial small subunit ribosomal RNA
Source: RNAcentral
AACGAACGCUGGCGGCAUGCCUAACACAUGCAAGUCGAACGAGACCUUCGGGUCUAGUGGCGCACGGGUGCGUAACGCGUGGGAACCUGCCCUUAGGUUCGGAAUAACUCCCCGAAAGGGGUGCUAAUACCGGAUAAUGUCUUCGGACCAAAGAUUUAUCGCCUUUGGAUGGGCCCGCGUUGGGUUAGCUAGUUGGUAGGGUAAAAGCCUACCAAGGCGACGAUCCAUAGCUGGUCUGAGAGGAUGAUCAGCCACACUGGGACUGAGACACGGCCCAGACUCCUACGGGAGGCAGCAGUGGGGAAUAUUGGACAAUGGGCGAAAGCCUGAUCCAGCAAUGCCGCGUGAGUGAUGAAGGCCUUAGGGUUGUAAAGCUCUUUUACCCGGGAUGAUAAUGACAGUACCGGGAGAAUAAGCGCCGGCUAACUCCGUG